Physeter macrocephalus (sperm whale) is the source of this 5540-nucleotide RNA transcript. It is a transcript of the gene named zinc finger SWIM-type containing 5, with no coding region annotated. NCBI's taxonomy places the organism in Eukaryota, Metazoa, Chordata, Mammalia, Artiodactyla, Physeteridae. The transcript has 15 exons. The record is from RefSeq and is a predicted model, not a curated record.
AUGGCGGAAGGAGGUGAGCGAGAGGAGCUGCUCUCGCCACCGCCGGUCUCUCCGGCCAAGCGCCUGUGCUCGUGGCCCAGUCCGCAGGCUCACUACCCUCGUGGUUCGCCCGGGGCGGCCGGCGGCGGGGUAGGGGGCGUCGGCGGCAGCUGCCUGCCCCUGGGGGCCCGCCCCCACCUGCAGCCCGAGUCCUUGCUGGACUGUGCCGCCAAGACGGUUGCGGAAAAGUGGGCGUACGAGCGGGUGGAGGAGCGCUUCGAGCGGAUCCCGGAGCCCGUGCAGCGCCGCAUCGUCUACUGGUCCUUUCCGCGGAAUGAGCGGGAGAUCUGCAUGUACUCCAGCUUCCAGUACCGCGGCGGCCCUGGCGCCGGCUCGGCUGGCGGCGCCUCGGGGGCUUCGCCGGCCGAGGAGGGGCCGCCGCCACCCCCCGGGGCCGCCACUCCGGCCGGCUCCGCCCCCGGGGCCGCCGCGGCGGGGGCGUCCCCCGGACUGGGCUCAGGGGCAGGAGCCGCCGGCGGCGGUGGUGGCGAGGGGCUCCCAUUCCGCCGGGGCAUCCGUCUGCUGGACAGCGGCUCCGUGGAGAAUGUGCUGCAAGUCGGCUUCCAUCUCAGUGGCACAGUAACUGAGCCGGCCACUACUUCUGAACCAGCAGUGACUUAUAAAGUUGCCAUCAGUUUUGAUCGAUGCAAAAUCACUUCAGUGGCAUGUGGCUGUGGGAACAAAGACAUAUUCUACUGUGCCCAUGUGGUAGCGCUCUCACUCUACAGGAUCCGUAAACCAGACCAAGUCAAACUGCGUCUUCCUAUCUCAGAAACCCUUUUCCAGAUGAAUAGGGACCAGCUACAAAAGUUUAUUCAGUAUUUAAUCACGGCACACCACACUGAAGUUCUUCCUACUGCACAGAAGCUGGCAGAUGAGAUUCUAUCCUCCAACUCCGAAAUCAACCAAGUAAACGGUGCCCCUGACCCCACAGCUGGGGCCAGCAUUGAUGAUGAGAACUGUUGGCAUUUGGACGAGGAACAGGUGAAAGAACAAGUGAAGCUCUUUCUCUCCCAGGGUGGUUACUAUGGCUCUGGAAAGCAACUCAAUUCAAUGUUUGCCAAGGUUCGAGAGAUGCUGCGGAUGAGAGAUUCCAAUGGAGCCAGGAUGCUGACGCUAAUAACUGAGCAGUUUAUGGCUGACCCACGACUCACACUGUGGAGGCAGCAAGGAACAACCAUGACAGAUAAGUGCAGGCAGCUCUGGGAUGAGCUAGGGGCGUUAUGGGUGUGCAUCAUUUUAAAUCCACAUUGCAAAUUGGAGGAAAAAUCCUGUUGGCUGCAGCAACUGCAGAAGUGGAAUGACCUGGAUGUCUGUCCCCUGGAGGAUGGGAACUAUGGGCAUGAGCUGCCCAACAUCACCAACGCACUUCCCCAGAAUGCCAGUCACCGUUCAGAUUCUUUAUCCAGACCAAGACGGACAGUGUUCACUAGAGCCAUCGAGGGCCGUGAAUUGCAUUGGCAGGACAGCCACUUACAGCGAAUAAUCAGCAGUGAUGUAUAUAUAGCUCCUGCCUGCCAGCAGGAAAGUGAGAGACUACUCUUUAAUUCUCAAGGCCAGCCACUGUGGCUUGAGCAUGUGCCUACAGCCUGUGCUCGGGUUGAUGCCCUGCGUUCCCAUGGUUACCCAAAAGAGGCCCUCAGACUCACAGUGGCCAUUAUCAAUACUCUGAGGUUGCAGCAGCAACGGCAGCUGGAAAUCUACAAGCAUCAGAAGAAAGAACUGUUGCAGAGAGGAACCACAACGAUCACAAACCUAGAAGGCUGGGUGGGCCACCCCCUGGAUCCCAUUGGCUGCCUGUUUCUCACUUUGACUGAGGCCUGCCGCCUGAAUGAUGAUGGCUAUCUGGAAGUGUCAGAUAUGAAUGAAAGCAGAGCCCCUGUGUACCAGCAUGUGCCUGUGGCUGCAGGCUGCCCAGACAGCAGUGAGUCCUACCUGUCAUUGGCCAUGGAAGUUGCUCUGAUGGGGAUGGGUCAACAGAGGGUGAUGCCUGAAGGCCUCUACGCACAGGACAAGGUGUGCCGUAAUGAGGAGCAGCUCCUGAGUCGACUCCAGGAGCUGCAGCUGGAUGAUGAGCUAGUGCAAACACUGCAGAAGCAGUGCAUCUUACUCCUGGAAGGAGGCCCCUUCAGCGGUCUGGGAGAAGUCAUCCACCGAGAGAGUGUUCCCAUGCAUACCUUUGCCAAGUAUUUGUUCUCAGCUCUACUGCCUCAUGAUCCAGACCUGUCCUAUAAAUUAGCCUUACGUGCCAUGAGGUUACCUGUUCUAGAAAACUCAACUUCUGCAGGCGACACUUCCCACCCUCACCAUAUGGUAUCUGUGGUGCCCAGCCGUUACCCUCGCUGGUUCACGCUUGGACACUUGGAAUCACAGCAGUGUGAACUGGCCUCCACCAUGCUGACUGCUGCCAAAGGAGACACUCUGAGGCUCCGCACAAUCCUGGAAGCAAUACAGAAGCACAUUCAUUCUUCCUCCCUCAUCUUCAAACUGGCCCAAGAUGCAUUCAAGAUUGCUACACCCACGGACAGUAAUACAGACAGCACCCUGCUCAACGUGGCCCUGGAGCUGGGGUUACAGGUGAUGAGGAUGACCUUAUCAACCCUUAACUGGAGGCGCCGGGAGAUGGUGCGGUGGUUGGUGACAUGUGCUACAGAAGUGGGUGUGCAGGCCCUGGUGAGCAUCCUGCAGAGCUGGUACACACUCUUCACCCCCACCGAGGCUACCAGCAUUGUGGCUGCCACAGCCGUAUCCCACACCACUAUCCUGCGCCUCAGUCUUGACUAUCCACAGCGGGAGGAGCUGGCUAGCUGUGCUCGCACGCUGGCCCUGCAGUGUGCUAUGAAGGAUCCACAGAGCUGCGCCCUAUCGGCCCUUACACUCUGUGAGAAGGACCACAUCGCCUUUGAAGCAGCCUACCAGAUUGCCAUUGAUGCUGCUGCUGGCGGCAUGACUCACUCACAGCUGUUCACCAUCGCCCGCUACAUGGAGCUCCGUGGCUACCCGCUACGUGCCUUCAAGCUGGCCUCACUGGCCAUGAGCCAUCUCAACCUGGCCUACAACCAGGACACCCACCCGGCCAUCAACGAUGUGCUCUGGGCGUGUGCCCUCAGCCACUCCCUGGGCAAGAAUGAGCUGGCGGCCCUGAUUCCCCUGGUGGUGAAGAGCGUGCACUGUGCCACAGUGCUUUCAGACAUCCUACGGCGCUGCACGGUCACUGCACCUGGCCUGGCCGGCAUCCCAGGCCGCCGCAGCUCGGGAAAGCUUAUGUCCACCGACAAAGCUCCCCUGCGCCAGCUGCUGGAUGCCACCAUCAAUGCCUAUAUCAACACCACACACUCGCGCCUGACACACAUCAGCCCUCGCCACUACGGAGAGUUCAUUGAGUUUCUGAGCAAGGCCCGGGAGACCUUCCUGCUGCCGCAGGAUGGCCACCUGCAGUUUGCCCAGUUCAUCGACAACCUCAAACAAAUCUACAAAGGCAAGAAGAAGCUGAUGCUGCUGGUGCGAGAGCGCUUUGGCUGAGAGAGCAGAUAGCUCGCUGCUGGGGCAUCCUGCGCUCCCAGGUACCAUCCGGUGCGGCCAAGGACACAAACAUUUGUCCACCCUGAGAGGACUCUGAGCACCUGUGGCUGAAGCCAGAGGACCACAGGGCUAAGCAUGGGGAGAGUCCAACUCUAGCCAACAUGCCUUGUCAAGGUUCUCACAACAGCCCACUGUUCCUGGAGGAGCUGGGCCCUGCAGACCUAUCAGAAACCCCACACAUGCCACCUCACGCCCCGCUAUCCUGCGUGUCCUGGGCGUUGGCCCACUCUCCUUGGCAAACACAGAACACUGUUCCGUCUCAGGGAUUGCUUAACCAGAGAAACAGAAGCAUUUAUGGUACUGUAAAUACUAUAGUAUAUGUGUUGCCAAUUACAUUGUAAAAUUGUAACUAUUUAUAAUUCUGGUUCUAAUCUGAUGGGUAGCUGUGGGUGGGAAGAUAGGCUUGUUUUCUGAGGAGAUUCACAACCAUUUCUCAGGUUUCCCUUGCAGAGGAUAUGCUAUUGGCAGUGGAAGAGUGGGGGUGGCAGAGAGAAAAAUGGCCAUUAGAGUAAACCCCAAGUCUAGUCUAUGCAGAAACCCCGGCCUGCAGAUGGGCAUUGACAGCCCGGUGAUGGGAAGGGGCAGGGCCCGGUCUUGACUUAGACUUUCACCUCACGAAGCCAUGAGGACACAGAAGCUCUUGCUCCUGCCUCACACAGCCUCUCUCUCUGGGGGCCUGCUCCUGAGAAACAAGGGCAGGGAGAAGGUGAAGGUUUGGGAGGCCACUGGGCUCAUAAUGUUCAUCUUCUCUGGUCAUCUUUGUGUUAGACAGCAUCUGGUUUCAUCUGUAAUUACACUUGUGUGUGUGUGGAUCUGGAUGGCUACGUACAUGCAUCUGUGCGCAUAGAUAUAUCUGUGCAUGCCUGUAUGUGCACAUGUAUAUUUAUGUGUAUCUGUGUCAGAUCUGUGUCUGUGUGAAGACAUGUCUGUGUACUGGAUGGUGGGUUUCUGUGUGAGGGUAUACACAUUUGUGAACAUAUAAAAAUACAUAUCUGUGUGUGUGUUGAUGUUUGUCGAUGCAUGUGUAGUGUUUGUGUAUCUGGGCACACUGUGUAAGUGCAUGUGUAUAAACAUGUCCGUGUCUGUGUGUAACUGUGUAUAUUUCCACAUGUAGGUUUGUCUGUGAAUUCAUGUUUGAGGAUCUGCCUGAAUGUGUCCCUUCUCUUUUUGCCAGAUCUCUUGUCCCCAUUUCUCUUAUUCUCUCACCAGCUAAACACGUUCAUCUCUGUGCCUCCUUUAUUCACCAUUGUCUCACCAAACAAGCUUCUAAGCACUAGUCUCCCUCUGCCCUGAGUGGCUCCUUCAGCGCCACAUUUCUCUUCUUACCCUGUACUUGCUUUCUUCCCCUGCCUUUCUACCUCAAGCUUCCUCUGCCUGCUUCUGUCACAGUCCCACUGGUCAUUGGUUUGGAGGCUGCGGCUGGAAUGCAUUUGGCCUUUUCCUUUCUGACUAGUUUCUAGCUCUAGUGGGCAACCCCUGUCUUAGCCCUGGCUGACCUCCACAGUGUAUCAUGUUCCUGCUACCUUCCUGACCUCUCUGCUGAGCCUGGAAUUGUAAUAGGAGGUAGCACAGGCAUUCGGAAGAGUCAUUUAGAUGCCAGUGUCUUGGUGGUUACUGUUUCAUGUUUUAGUUCCUGAGUAGGGGGUGGGGUGUGACAGGGAAGGGGUGGUAUAGUUAGAGUGUGAACUAAGGACCUCUUUGUUUGCUUUACUUUCCUGUCUUUGACAAACUGUUUGUGUCACUUUUUUUUUCUCCACUCUAACCAGUAAGUUGCAUUUGCUGUUUGUGGCUACCAAAGUCUCACCGUCCAGCUACGGGCCCAACAACCUCUCAGCCCAAUAGAAUCAGAUUUGAGCAGGUACCUGGGGUACAACAAGGAUGUCGGAGAAGAUGAUGGCAGCAUCCAGAGGGAAGCGACG